AUGGAAUGAAGUUUAUCAGAGCAAGAUGAACUUUGACCUGUAAAGCCUAAACAAGACUCGGGACAGGGAAAGAAUAAAAGCAAGGUAUGACCUACCACAGAGAGGACAAAGAGAUGACUCUGUAGCAGGACACAUCUGCAUGGUCCCCACCUCCCUGUCAAGCUAAAGGUCUGCCCUUCACGUGUCAUGGACAGCCACAACCACCAUGGAAGAGCAGAGACAGACAGAAACAUUAUUAUCUGUUUCAUCCUUAAAGAGAUCUCUCCUGCUGAUGUCUGGUCAUCAUGACAUAUUUGAACACCCAGCACCUUCACUGAAGUGGUGUGGUGGUGUCUUGAAAAAAAGAAAAAAAAAGGUGCAGAUAAAAGUGAAGAGAUACAGAGUUACAGUUUCUUUUUUAGAAGCUGUCAUGCUAUGGGAGAAGGUAAAUUGCCCAGCAUAGAGAUGGAUUAGUUGAAAUCACUGGGAUUCUUAAAGGAUUAAGAGGAUUCUGGCAUUUCCAUUGUGUUAGAGGACUGGCAGAGUUUGGGGCCAUUCAUCCAAAAAUAACAUAUGGCUUUUAACAGGGGGAGGAUGACAAAACGACAGCAGCACACUGACAGCUUGUUUAAAGACAACCAUUAACAGCAGACACUAUACAUAUUGAUGUUUUAGUAAUAAUUUCUGACAUCACACAAUCAAAUGGCUAAAAUUUACCUCUCAGUCUGUAAAUGCAUGCAGUCACUCCGGCCUGUGCUCAUUGCUGUAUGACACACUACAGCCGAGGUUAGGUUACACUCAUUUCAGCCUGUGCGCUGUAAUUGCAUGGUUGUGUUUCCCAUCAACCAAACCAUUUCCAAACUCAACUCUCAUUAAAUACAGUGGGCGGAAAUGUUUGCGUCUGAAUGUGAUGUUUAUGGGCUAUAUACGGAAAGAUGGCCUCAUCCACACAAUAACAAGACUGAAACUGGAUCUCUGAGUCUCGGGAAGUUUAGGAGGAAACUUGGGUUUUUUAACAAGCAAAAUUUAUUUCAGAGAUAAUGCUUUAUGAUUCAGUUUGUCAUCUCAAAUGAAUGAUAAGAAAUUUAGAAAUCUUUCCUAAGAGUUUGUUUAAAGUUUGGAAAGAGUGAAACUGAGUGGAAAU
Cyprinus carpio carpio is the source of this 1123-nucleotide long non-coding RNA. NCBI's taxonomy places the organism in Eukaryota, Metazoa, Chordata, Actinopteri, Cypriniformes, Cyprinidae. The record is from Ensembl.